Long non-coding RNA from Daktulosphaira vitifoliae (grape phylloxera), 2092 nucleotides. RefSeq lists it as uncharacterized. The transcript is spliced from 4 exons. Lineage: Eukaryota; Metazoa; Arthropoda; Insecta; Hemiptera; Phylloxeridae. The record is from RefSeq and is a predicted model, not a curated record.
CUCAGUAGAAACUAAGUCGUAUACAGCGUAAUGAUUACCGAGGGCUAUUGCGUUGGCAAUUUAAAAUUUAGAUAAUCUCUAUAAGAGGGUACUUGGACCACAUUAUAUCAGAUGGCAAACAUCGGCAGCAUUUGCGUGGCACAUUAUUCUAUUAACUUAAUGGUUAGAAGUCGGAGCACGAGUGUAAAAUAAAUUAGGGUCUUUUAUUAAGGUAGGGCUAAAAAUAGGAAAGCUCAUUUACGUUAUUGUUAAAGAAUUUGAAGUUUUAGUGAGUAUAAAGUCGAACUUAAUUUUUGCAUUAUCGUCUGAUUUUUUCCAGGCAAACUAUAACAGACAGCAUCUUUUAUAUUGAAGAAAUCUUUGUUGAACAUGGUAAAACAGAGUUGCGUAUAGUUGAGACAAUCGUGUUGAAGUAAAUAUCAAUUUGCACUCUGUAGGGUGUAAACAUCUAAAGUGUUUUUUUCAAGACAUCAGAAUAAAAUACAGCAUUAUUAGUGAUGAUUAAAAUGAUUUAUUCGUUAAAUCAUUAAAAUAAAACUGUUUCAUUAUGUUUCGAUUCAAACGAAUUUAUGUUAUUGUUUGACAAAUACUUUCAGGAUAAUUAUAACGAUUUCAUAAAUUAGUGUAAAUCAUCUUUUUAGCGACGAUAUUAUUUUGAAUGUUUCAUUAUUUGGUAAUUAUGAAAAUAUAAAUGUCUAAUUUAAUUGUCAAUAUGCGUUUUCUGGGGUAAACCAAUAUUUUACAGUCGCUAGUAAUAUUUCAUCAAGUUUAUGGAAAUAUUUCCUUUAUGGUACGUUUCUUUUUUCUUCUGCGAAGAGUUUGUGGUCUUUGUUGAGUUUAUGUUACAAUCGUUUACGGGUUUGUGCUUAAAUGACACAAAUGAUCCUUUUUAGAUCAUUUGCGAAAGGGAAAGAAAGAAGGAGUUGCAGGAAUUAAUAAAUUCUUAAAAUAAAACGUGCUAUGUUGAGUAAUUUAUGCUUGAAAGUUUAUUGUAAGACAGAAAACAAAUAAGUUCAGACGUUAUUCCAUUAUAAAUUAUGUAAGUACGAUUAAACACCUAACUUGUAAGCUAUAAAUACUUGUAUUAAUUGCCAAUCUAACAAGGUCUGAGUAAAUAUACCAUUGUGUUCGUAUUUGAAUAAAACAUUUAUUAAAAGAACAUUCAAAACACAGCUUUAAUUGUAGCGAAUUAACUCUUAUUGAAUUUCAUUUUUUGUAAUGAAAUAAUUAAAUGUUAUUUAAAUUUUUAGAAAUUAUAUAAUAUUUAUCACUCAGGUUAAAAGUUUAUAGAAUUACAACGGAAUGAAUUUCUAGUGAAAUAUUUCUCAGUUUCUUUGCAGAUUACUAAUAUGUAAACUCAAAGUUCACGCUACUGAAUAUUUUUUUUUUUUUUUUGGAAUUCCAAAUUGUUUACGCAUUUUACAUUCUCAAUUCUUGUGUAUACACUCAUAAAAACCUUUCACGCUAUGUUUUAAGUAUCCUUGAAAUUUUUGUAAAGUUGUGGUGUGUAAUUUACGAAUGAUUCGACUCACUGAAACGACUCGGUCAGGUUUGAUGAGCUUGUUAUCAUCAUGGAUUUCGAUUUUAUUAUAUUUAAAUCGAUUUCAUUAUUUAAUAUUACUUCAAUUGCUAGCGUUGACUAAAUUGAAAACGUUGAGACUAUAUACAAACAAGAUAGAUUUUUAAUAUUCAAGAUUUUGUCAAAAUGUUUUAAAAUUAUUUAAUCAUUAAACAUUUAUAGAUUGCCCCCAAUUACGGUGAACGAGGGAAAUUUUUGAGGGUAAUGUCCUUCUCAGCUUCGAAGCUAAAACUGCAGAGAGAUGUAAUAUAUUUUUUCAUUUCAUCAUCCAGCAGCGUUAAUGGAUAGCUCCAGCUUAUAUUAACAAUGUAUUUAAUUAACUUUACUCUUGUAAAAUCAAUUUUUGCUAUGAAAUGAAAAAUAUUAUAAUUGGCUUCUAUUUUUGAAGUAUAAUAAUGUACAAUUACAUAUUUUUCUUUAUUUAUGUAAAUUAUUUUUAUAUAAAAAUUUUAAAAUUAUCAAUUAUCGUCAUUUAAAAAUAAAUGUAUCAUUUUUUCAGUAAUCAAACGGAAU